Non-coding RNA from Xyrichtys novacula (pearly razorfish), 786 nucleotides. Lineage: Eukaryota; Metazoa; Chordata; Actinopteri; Labriformes; Labridae. The record is from the annotation of a GenBank genome assembly.
UGAUGCAAUUGAAGAGAGAAGUGUUUUCCUCCAGAGUAACAGGUUUUGGUUGAGCUUUGGUCUAGUUUUGGCGAUGCAGUUGUGGAGAUAAACUUUUCUGUUCCAGAGUUGCAUGUUUUAGUCUAGUUUUGCUCUGUGUUUGCUAAACUGAAGCAGAACUCAUGACAUCUCAACGCCUGGAGCCUGUAAGGUAGGUCCUUCUGCUGCACACCAAGGACAGAUCAUCGACGAGGGACACUGCAGGUUAGUUUGCGUUUAAUUUGCUUUUGGCUUCUGCUGGUUUGCUUUUGGUUUGACAACAACCGCACCAACAUACACCACAAAAACAAACCCCCAUCAUCAAUGAUCAACCAGUGCAGCUGCUGUCUGCCCUGGUAGCUGGUUUCGGUCUAGUUUUUGUCUGUUUUAGUGAUGCAAUUGUGGAGAGAAACUGUUCUACUCUGGAGAAGCAGGUUUUGGUCUAGUUUUGGCGAUGCAAUUGUGGAAAGGAACUGUGCUCUUCUGGGUUUGCUGCUUCUGGUCUAGUUUUGGUCAUGCAAUUGUAAAGAGAAUCUUUCCUCUUCCGCUGAUAUGUUUUAGUCUAGUUUUGCUCUGUUUUUGCUAUACUGAAGCAGAACUCAUAACAUCCCAACGCCUGGAGCCUGUAAGGUAGGUUCUUCUGCUGCACACCAAGGACAGACCAUCGACGAGGGACACUGCAGGUUAGUUUGCGUUUAAUUUGCUUUUGGCUUCUGCUGGUUUGCUUUUGGUUUGACAACAACCGCACCAACAUACAACACAAAAACA